UUGAAGCAUGCUUGGGCCUCAAGCCCAAGCUUCACACGGUCAAACACAAUCCCAAUCCAUGUCCACUUAGCAACAAGUCAAAAUAUCAAUACUCAACAACAUGAAUAACAAACAUUGCACAAUUUCACUCCAAUGCUUCACGUUUCUUCAUUCUCCAAAAAUGUUCAUAUGCAAACCUCUUCUAACUCAUCAACCACAACGCACAUGGAUCUUCUCCGUUUCAACAUCGAUGAGCAAGAUCCACAGUCGUGUUCUCUCACUCUCAUUUCGAGCGUCCAAACACCACGAGCAAAACUUUGAAUCUGGAUCCACGAUGUAUCUUUGAAAAAUCGAAUCCAAACCGAAUUCAUCAUCACCAAAUCAGAAUCAAAUUCAUCAUUCAAACUGCACCGAAUCAGAGUUGCAAAAUCCACAUCAACACACGAAUACACAGCAACACACGAAUCUUCUUCGUUCGUGAAUUCGCCUUUUGGAUUGGAUAUCGUCUAAGAAAGGUGCAGAUAGCUGAAACAAAGGAUAGAAGAUUUUUACCAGAUCGAAGUGGAGGGAUUAUCCGAUGCAAUGGCUCGACGAUAACAACUUCACAGAGCUUUUCCUGAAUGAAGGAGCUUCAGUUCUGUGUUGUUGGAAAAAAUACAGGGAGAUGCGUUUUGCGUGUGGAUCGUUUCAUUUGCUUGAGAUGCUUGGAUGUGGAGUCUUGUUCUUUGGUUUGUUGGACAAGUUUGAAGGAGGAAACUUGGGUUGUUGCUUGGAAAGUGUUAACAGGGAUUGGACAAUUGUUAUGGCAUGCUUGUAUGUUGUUUGGAUCAUGGACUGUAUUGGGAAAUUGGGGUUACAAUUGUAUGGAUUUUGUAUUGUGUAUUAAAUUGUAAGAACUAAUAUGGGAUUCUAUUGAACUGUUAAUUGAAAUUUGAAUGUGAAAGUAUUCAAUA
Molecule: long non-coding RNA, 932 nt
Organism: Lathyrus oleraceus (garden pea)
Lineage: Eukaryota; Viridiplantae; Streptophyta; Magnoliopsida; Fabales; Fabaceae
Exons: 2
Source: RefSeq, a predicted model, not a curated record